GAGUGAUUCAGAAGAAGACGAAGAAGAAGAAGAAGCUAGUGAAGUCA
This 47-nucleotide small RNA is filed under the name Arabidopsis thaliana (thale cress). RNAcentral describes it as "ATSL015380". The record is from RNAcentral. Lineage: Eukaryota; Viridiplantae; Streptophyta; Magnoliopsida; Brassicales; Brassicaceae.